RNAcentral lists this unclassified non-coding RNA (439 nucleotides) under Hevea brasiliensis (rubber tree). The record is from RNAcentral. Lineage: Eukaryota; Viridiplantae; Streptophyta; Magnoliopsida; Malpighiales; Euphorbiaceae.
GGCCCCUGACUUUUUCUCGUCCUGUAUCAAAACAUAGGACUUGUUAAUCAGCAUUUUGAAUUAUCCAGGAGACCUAAAAAGAAGGCAUGCAAAUAUCAUUUUUCUGCUCAUAGGACUUGAUCAACAGCAAUUUAAAUCAUGAUAAGCCCUUGUCCCAGAAUAAAAGCAACUUAACAUUACCCAGAAACCCCUACAGCCAACAUCAGUAGGACGUUACCAGUUAAUGGCUUGAAAGAAAUACAUCCAAUAAAACAUUAAAAGGUCCAGAACCACCUCCAACCCCCUUGUGAUAUGAAAAAAGAAUAUCCUCUCUAAAUUGUUGGCAAAGUUGUAAUUAUCCAGCUUUUGGUCUCAUUCUCCCGAUUUGAAGCAUAUAUAACUAAAUAUUCAGACAAUUAAUGUACAAAUAAUGGAACACCAUUGUAAAAGGAAUUUAAAA